AGAGCCUCCAUGAUUCCAGCUUCCUGCUGGGAAUGAGGAUGGGGAGUGUGAUGUAAGAACUGUUUUCCCAGGUAAAGAACUCUGGCAACAUUCUGCAGUCCCUGGAAAAGCUGUGUUCCCUUCAGGGGUGUGGAUUUGUGUGCAU
MicroRNA precursor from Equus caballus (horse), 145 nucleotides. Ensembl annotates it as eca-mir-8927-2. The record is from Ensembl. Lineage: Eukaryota; Metazoa; Chordata; Mammalia; Perissodactyla; Equidae.